GUACUAGGGAUGGAGGAGUGACCAGGCAGGUACUAGGGAUGGAGGAGUGACCAGGCAGGUACUAGGGAUGGAGGAGUGACCAGGCAGGUACUAGAGAUGGAGGAGUGACCAGGCAGGUACUAGGGAUGGAGGAGUAACCAGGGAGGUACUACAGUAGGGAUGGAGGAGUGACCAGGGAGGUACCACAGUAGGGAUGGAGGAGUGACCAGGGAGGUACUACAGUAGGGAUGGAGGAGUGACCAUGGAGGUACCACAGUAGGGAUGGAGGAGUGACCAGACAGGUACUAGAGAUGGAGGAGUGACCAGGCAGGUCUGGGCAGAGGAGAUAUAGUCGUUGUUUGUCUGCGUCUGUCAGUUAUUGGUAUGUGUAUGUUGGAAUUUGGUUUGAAAGAAGAAAAAAAAAGAGAAAAAAAAAAUGUUAUUUUGUGUGCUGCAAUAAAUGAUGAAUAAAAUAAAUGCUUAUGUGUCGAUAGGUAUAGUACUGUACGUCAUUAUUCAGUUCAAGCACACAAAGUCUGGGAUUCAAUCAAAGGUGUGUUGUCGACAAACUCACCUGUCAGUUCAGUAGUCAAACCCACCUGUUAGUUCAGUAGUCAAACCCACCUGUCAGUUCAGUAGUCAAACCCACCUCAGUCAGUUCAGUAGACAAACCCACCUGUCAGUUCAGUAGUCAAACCCACCUGUUAGUUCAGUAGACAAACCCACCUGUCAGUUCAGUAGUCAAACCCACCUCAGUCAGUUCAGUAGUCAAACCAACCUGUCAGUUCAGUAGUCAAACCCACCUCAGUCAGUUCAG
Long non-coding RNA from Oncorhynchus tshawytscha (Chinook salmon), 796 nucleotides. Lineage: Eukaryota; Metazoa; Chordata; Actinopteri; Salmoniformes; Salmonidae. The record is from Ensembl.